This is a non-coding RNA of Zonotrichia albicollis (white-throated sparrow), 1484 nucleotides long. The record is from RefSeq and is a predicted model, not a curated record. Lineage: Eukaryota; Metazoa; Chordata; Aves; Passeriformes; Passerellidae.
CCUAAUAUCUAAUUUAAAGCUACCCUCUGUUAGCUUAAAGCCACUCCCCUUUAUUCUAUCACUCCUUGCAUUUCUAAAGUGCCCCUUUCCAUCUCUCUUUUCAGUACUGGAAGGUGCUACAAGGUCCCACCAGAGCCUUCUCUUCUCCAGGCUGAACAAUCCCAGUUGCCUCAGACUGUCUUCACAGGAGAAACAUUCCAGCCCUCUGUUCAACUCUGGAUUUCUCUGGACUGGCUCCAACAGGCCUUUAACUAAAAUCUUGAACAGAAGCAUGCUCUAGACAGACUUAUGCAAUACUGGAAUGACUUCCCAGACUGAGAGCUACAGUUAAGAAGGGUACAGUGUUUCGCCACUGGAUUGCCAUUUCACAUGGGCCAUAUAUAUAAAUUACUCCAGACACAAAUUCAGAACAAUACCAGAUUUGUUCAGGAUCAUGUCUUGCAUAAAAAGACUUAGAGAAGAAAUUAUGUCAUCCCUUAUCUCAAGAAAACACAGAUGAUUCAAGCCAAAAGGCCUUUGAACUCCUCCAUGUAAACUUCAGUUUGCCCUACUGCAACAUUUUGCAUAUGAGGAAUACCCAUGAGGAUCACAGUUUGUAAAGGCUGUCUGCUGUUCAGCACACAAGGGCAAAAUGAAGGAUUUCUGUAACUGGAAGAAUCAAUGUUGCUGCGAUUUGAGCUAAGAAUUGGCUCAAACCGCAAUAGUAUGAAGGAGUAGGCACAAAGAGGAAAUUCAAAUAUGUAUGCAAGCAUAUAGUCCAACCAGCCAGACAAAUCUAUUGCUACAUGCUCUCCCACAUGUGGAAGACCUCUAGGGUACGCCGAGCACAGCAUUGCUGCAGAGUUGAGGAUGGUGAUUUUCCCACUCUGCUCUGCGCUGGUACUGGAGACUGACCUUGAGCACCAUCUGUAGCUUUGGGUGCCUCAGUAAGAAGGAGGACAUAAAGCUAAUGAAGAGUGUCCACGGGAGGGCAAAGAAGGUGGUGAAGGGCCUUGAGGGCAGACUGAAGAGCAAGACAGCUUGGUGUGUUCAGCCUGGAGCAAAGCAAUGGGGUGCCUCAUCACGGUCUACAGCUUCCUCACGAGGACCAGAGCAAGCAGGCCCUGAUUUCUCUCUGGUGAAUACUGAUACAACCAAAGGGAGCUGCAUGAGGCAGUGUUGGGGUGCUUUGGUUGGAUAUUAGUAAAUUUUUAGUAAAGUUUUUUUCCCCUGAAGGAUGGCUGGGCACUGGAACAGGCUCCUCAGGGAAGCGGUCACAGCACCAAGCCUGUCACAGUUCAAGGAGCACUUAAAAAUGUUCUUAGGCACAUGCUGACUGUGUGAUCCUUGGGAUGUUCUGUGCAGGGCUAGGAGUUGGACUCAAUGAUUCUUGGAGGUCCUUUCCAACUCAAGAUAUUCUAUGACUCUAAGACUCUAUGACAUUAUACUCUUCUAAUAUAAUUUCAUAAUAAUAAAUCAUAGUAAAUAUUAAUAGUAUCCUUGUA